UACGUAGGGUGCAGGCGUUAAUCGGAAUUACUGGGCGUAAAGCGUGCGCAGGCGGUCUUUUAAGUCAGAUGUGAAAUCCCCGGGCUUAACCUGGGAACUGCGUUUGAAACUGGAAGGCUUGAGUGUGGCAGAGGGGGUGGAAUUCCGCGUGUAGCAGUGAAAUGCGUAGAUAUGCGGAGGAACACCGAUGGCGAAGGCAAUCCCCUGGGCCUGUACUGACGCUCAUGCACGAAAGCUAGGGGAGCAAACAGG
This 252-nucleotide ribosomal RNA is filed under the name uncultured bacterium. Its description in RNAcentral is "partial 16S ribosomal RNA". It matches the Rfam family "Bacterial small subunit ribosomal RNA", at positions 524 to 776 of the family's 1533-position model. The record is from RNAcentral.